AAUUUUUACAGUGAAGAGUUUGAUCCUGGCUCAGGAUGAACGCUAGCUACAGGCUUAACACAUGCAAGUCGAGGGGCAG
RNAcentral lists this ribosomal RNA (79 nucleotides) under Xylanibacter ruminicola. RNAcentral describes it as "partial 16S ribosomal RNA". It matches the Rfam family "Bacterial small subunit ribosomal RNA", at positions 1 to 72 of the family's 1533-position model. The record is from RNAcentral. Lineage: Bacteria; Pseudomonadati; Bacteroidota; Bacteroidia; Bacteroidales; Prevotellaceae.